RNAcentral lists this ribosomal RNA (253 nucleotides) under uncultured bacterium. Its description in RNAcentral is "partial 16S ribosomal RNA". It matches the Rfam family "Bacterial small subunit ribosomal RNA", at positions 524 to 776 of the family's 1533-position model. The record is from RNAcentral.
UACGAAGGGGGCUAGCGUUGUUCGGAAUUACUGGGCGUAAAGCGCGCGCAGGCGGUUCUUUAAGUCAGGGGUGAAAGCCCAGAGCUCAACUCUGGAACUGCCCUUGAAACUAGAGAACUUGGGUACGGGAGAGGUGAGUGGAAUUCCGAGUGUAGAGGUGAAAUUCGUAGAUAUUCGGAAGAACACCAGUGGCGAAGGCGGCUCACUGGCCCGGUACUGACGCUGAGGUGCGAAAGCGUGGGGAGCAAACAGG